Mastomys coucha (southern multimammate mouse) is the source of this 702-nucleotide long non-coding RNA. RefSeq lists it as uncharacterized. Lineage: Eukaryota; Metazoa; Chordata; Mammalia; Rodentia; Muridae. The record is from RefSeq and is a predicted model, not a curated record. The transcript is spliced from 2 exons.
UCAACUAGUUCCUGCAUAAACGUGAAAGAGAAUAAGAAAUCUGGAGACCUCUGGGAUGCUCUGAAGCUUGGUAGGAAGUGGGUAGGAAUGACCAAGCGGAGGAUACUUUUACUUACGCCCGCUUCUUUAGGUGGUGCCUCGUAGUCAGCCCUUCGUCUAUCACAGCCCCGACCACCUGGCGCUUCCGUCGCCGAUCCCUGCUUAACACCCUGCGGCGCUUGAACAACUUCUUCUUCAGCUCCUGCGGAAGAAAAAGAUGAGCAUCCACGUAAGGUUGUGCACGUCCACCCGGGAUCCUCCGCACCUAACAACCCCAGACCCCAACUGAUCCUGUUUCCGGAGAGGAAAAUGCAAGGAAGCCAAGGGAAACAGAGGCCCGGUUCCCACUCCCACAGUCCAGUCACCGUUCGGGGACGAUUGAUCUUUCCUCCGGGAGGAGCCAUUGCUACACUCGGUGGCUCACUCCGAGAGCCGCACUUCCGCCACACUCACAGGUUCCGCCACGGGCAAACGACCCGCCCCCUGACGCCUCGGGACCAAUCGCAGCUUGGAGGCGGGUACCAGCCCUAUAUAAGGUCGUUCCGCGCCCUUCGAGGCCUUUCCAAGGGUUGGCUUUCACGUCUACAUUGACGCCUUCCGGAGUGAUAGUUAAGGCUUUGUUUGCUGUUCGUUGUUGAACCAAUAAAGUCUGAAUCCUAAGGA